UACGGAGGGUGCGAGCGUUGUCCGGAAUCACUGGGCGUAAAGGGCGCGUAGGCGGCGCGGAUAGUCGGCGGUGAAAGCCCGGAGCUCAACUCCGGGUCGGCCGUCGAUACUUCCGGGCUUGAGCACUGUAGAGGCAGAUGGAAUUCCGGGUGUAGCGGUGGAAUGCGUAGAGAUCCGGAAGAACACCCGUGGCGAAGGCGGCCCCCUGGGCCGUACCUGACGCUGAGGAGCGAAAGCGUGGGGAGCGAUCCGG
RNAcentral lists this ribosomal RNA (253 nucleotides) under uncultured bacterium. RNAcentral's name for it is "partial 16S ribosomal RNA". It matches the Rfam family "Bacterial small subunit ribosomal RNA", at positions 524 to 776 of the family's 1533-position model. The record is from RNAcentral.